This 216-nucleotide ribosomal RNA is filed under the name Glomeromycotina sp. RNAcentral describes it as "partial small subunit ribosomal RNA". The stretch from base 75 to 216 matches the Rfam family "Eukaryotic small subunit ribosomal RNA", at positions 721 to 864 of the family's 1831-position model. Lineage: Eukaryota; Fungi; Glomeromycota. The record is from RNAcentral.
GGGUCAGUAGGUUGGUCGUGCCACCGGUACGUACUGGUCUCACUGAUUCCUCCUUCCUGAGGAACCGUAAUGCCAUUAAUUUGGUGUUGCGGGGAAACAGGACUGUUACUUUGAAAACAUUAGAGUGUUUAAAGCAAGCUAACGCUUGAAUACAUUAGCAUGGAAUAAUGAAAUAGGACGAUCGAUCCUAUUUUGUUGGUUUCUAGGAUUGACGUA